Molecule: ribosomal RNA, 128 nt
Filed under: Simulium sp. 2 BR-2011
Lineage: Eukaryota; Metazoa; Arthropoda; Insecta; Diptera; Simuliidae
Description: partial 28S ribosomal RNA
Rfam family: Eukaryotic large subunit ribosomal RNA
Source: RNAcentral
UAGCCUCCACUCAUGUGAGACUACCCCCUGAAUUUAAGCAUAUUAAUAAGGGGAGGAAAAGAAACUAAAUAGGAUUCUCUUAUUAGCGGCGAGCGAAAAAGGAAAAGACCACCACGUAGAAUCGACGA